UGGGGAAUAUUGCACAAUGGGGGAAACCCUGAUGCAGCGACGCCGCGUGAGCGAAGAAGGCUUUCGAGUCGUAAAGCUCUGUCCUAUGAGAAGAUAAUGACGGUAUCAUAGGAGGAAGCCCUGGCUAAAUACGUGCCAGCAGCCGCGGUAAUACGUAUGGGGCGAGCGUUGUCCGGAAUUAUUGGGCGUAAAGCGAGCGCAGGCGGUUAGAAAAGUCUGAAGUGAAAGGCAGUGGCUCAACCAUUGUAGGCUUUGGAAACUGUUUAACUUGAGUGCAGAAGGGGAGAGUGGAAUUCCAUGUGUAGCGGUGAAAUGCGUAGAUAUAUGGAGGAACACCGGUGGCGAAAGCGGCUCUCUGGUCUGUAACUGACGCUGAGGCUCGAAAGCGUGGGGAGCGAACAGG
Molecule: ribosomal RNA, 403 nt
Filed under: Verrucomicrobiota bacterium
Lineage: Bacteria; Pseudomonadati; Verrucomicrobiota
Description: Verrucomicrobia bacterium partial 16S ribosomal RNA
Rfam family: Bacterial small subunit ribosomal RNA
Source: RNAcentral